RNAcentral lists this long non-coding RNA (2034 nucleotides) under Homo sapiens (human). RNAcentral's name for it is "HSALNT0329789". The record is from RNAcentral. Lineage: Eukaryota; Metazoa; Chordata; Mammalia; Primates; Hominidae.
CGAGAGGGGCCAUGGGGCCGAGCCGGCUGGUUCCGGAGUCGCUAUCUGACCUUGACAGAUGCCACAGCUGGGCGCCUGGAGAGGAGCCGCCGCCACAGUGCUGCAGAACCCCCCCAGCACCUCCCCCAGGCCAGGGUCGAUGGAGGCUCAGGCUGGCCCCAGCCACAGGCAGCCACCCCAUGAGGCGGGAGCCAGAAGACCUCGGAGCACCUCCCAGUAGGGUGGAUGGGGAUGGGGUUGGGGGGUCUGGAGGCAAGGGAGUGGGAGCAGGGCCACUGCAGGGCACAGGAGGCAGCAGUGGGGUCUCCUGAGGGUGCCCCCGCCCUCAGGUAAGGCUACAUGUGUGAGAAGCACGCAGAGCCUGCCAUUGUGUGUGUGUGUGUAGCUUGGCUGUGGGGCUGAGUGUGUGUGUAGAAGGGAAGUAAAGCGUGAGUAUGGGUGUGACAAAAAUUGUACUUGUGUGCCUGUGUCCUUGGGGUCACACAAGGCUGGGAAGACAGGCUAAUGUCCAUGAAAUGAGUGUGGCCACAUCACUUGGUGUGGGCACCGAUCACUCCCCAAACUCAUUUAAAGCCAUAGCUGUCCUGGCAGGUGUGAGCCAUGCUGGGUCUAGGGGUAGGGUGGGAGACAAAGAGAGCCACAAGUCUUGUCACUUGCAGAUGGCGGAGGGGCGCCCCUCCGGCCCUUCCUGACCUACCCUCUCUCCCGCUAUGGCGGUUGUCCCAAGCACUCAGUGAUGGGCACGGGGCUGGGCACCGCCACUCUAGGGACAUCAGCCAGGGGCUGGGGUGUGAGUUGCAGGAGGGGAUGCAGGGCUGGAGGGGGAUUAGCAAUUCCGAGCACUGGCUGCAUAAUUAAAAAAUCAUUACGGCAGGCGGGCAGAGCUGAGUGUGAGCUCACGCUUAGAGCGGGCGGGGACACUGCCAUGGCGCUCCCCCUCCCACUGCUUCCCCGAGGAAAAAUCCCACCUGCUAAUAUAAUUAUGGAAAAACACAAGCACAGAAAUUUGGUUUCAGCAAACAACGUGCCUCAGUGCCCAGGGCCUGCCUGGCCCUCAGCACAGCGAGCAGGCUGGCCACUGGCAUCCAGGGCUCAUGGCAGUAAGGCAGGCCCUGCUAGGUCCAGACAUUACCUCCACCCCCUCAGCAACCCCCCAAGAGAGGAGACUGGGAGGGGUAUACAAAGCCCAGCUCCCUAAAUCCCAAAUUCAGGAGAAAAUGGGCUGGUGCUGAUGGUUUACAAACGGGGAAACCGAGGCUAAGGACUCUACAUAAGGUCACUGUGUUUGUGGCAAAGCCAAGAGGAACUGGAUCCGUGCUCAGUGCAACACCUCAGGGCUCAACAUCCCCUCCCGACUCCCCCUAUCAGUCAUCCCCCAGCCUUCUCCGCUCCGCCUGGGAUAAGCAUAUCUCUCCCGAGACUGAAGAGAGCCUCCAAGCCAGGUACCCCGGCAUGGCCCAGAGCCUACUCAGACCUGCACGCCACGAUGGGGUUCAGGGAUAGGGCGUCCUGGGCUCGUCUGGGUUAAGCCAGGCGAGCAGAGCUGGCUCCCGCCCCGAGAAACGCGGCCAGCUCUGGGGCACAGGCCCCAGAACGGCAGGAACAGCCGCCAUCACCUCGGGCCUGGAGCGGGCAGCGGGCCUGGAGCGGGCAGUGGGCGGCGCGGGAGGUAGCCGGGCCUAAUUAGUCGGCCUGGGACCCGGGCGGGCGCCGGGGCGGCAGACGCGGCCGCCAGAGCCGCGCAGGCACGUCCGCGUCCGGCUGGGAGGCGGCAGGGAGCCGGGAGGCGCCCUGAGCCGCGGCGGGACGGGCAGCCUGGGAAGGCCUGGGCCAAGGAGAUUCCGCACCGAGAAGGCUGGCCUCCCCUCAUUCCACGGUGCCACCAGGCGCAGCAAUUAGAGGCUUUCAAACACACCAGAGCUCUGCAUCCAGGCCUGGAGCCACCGCAGCUGCUGGGGCCCUGGGAGCAUGAAUAAUAAUGUAAUGAUAACAAAAUAACAGUGUCAGUAGUAAUAAUAAGGAUGGCGAGAACAA